Molecule: long non-coding RNA, 1175 nt
Filed under: Homo sapiens (human)
Lineage: Eukaryota; Metazoa; Chordata; Mammalia; Primates; Hominidae
Description: testicular germ cell expressed HSF2 interacting lncRNA
Source: RNAcentral
GCCAGCAGCAGGAGGACCGCGGGAGCGAGCCUCAGUGCUUUGAACGCCUCCUGCUCCAUCACAGUGACUGCUCAAGGCAGGACACCUGAUCCUAUCGGAAUCCACCCACGGAUGGGGCCUCCACGUGAAAAGUAACUACAAAACAGAACCAGAAAAUAGUCAUGCUGUUCAAACAAGAACAAUCCCUCUGCCUGAUGAGGACAUCAACCCAUUCUUGGGGGUCAGCUGCAGUACGGACAGCUGUGUUACCUGCAUACGUCCUAGUGUUCUGUCCAUGGCACCAUGGCUGAAGAGUCCGGAGAUCCGGCUUCUGGGCCAGAAUCAAUCAUCAACCUUCUGCGUUAUUCAGAUAAACACUUUACCCAAGUACGCACUUCUCACUAUCUAACAACAAUUUCAAAGCAUUUUGAAAAAAGUCCUAGCUGAUGAUUGGACACCCUCUAUCAGAGGACUCUUUUAUCAAGGUCCAUUCAACUUUUGUUUUCUAAGAAUCUGGAUGAUUUCAACUUUGAAAGGCAAAGCAAAACCAGCGGUGGGAGAGGCUUCUGGUUAGAGAAUAGACUUUGAAAUCAGACCUGCCUUUUAUCACUUACUAGCAGUGCAACUAUGGAUAAAGAGACUGUGGCUCAGAAAAUACAAGCAACUUAUAAAAGAGAAAUAUCUGGACCACAAAGAGUCAACUCAUAGCUUUAUCUAAGGCUCCAGGGCUCUGAAUGGAGUCUCACCCUGUCACCCAGACUGGAGUGCAAUGGCGUGAUCUCGGCUAACUACAAACUCUGCCUCGUGGGAUCAAGUGAUUCUCCUGCCUCAGCCUCCCAAGUAGCUGGGAUUACAGCCAGUCAGGAAAAUCUUGCUUCUCAAACUCCUGUCUUGACCCCUUCCUGAACUUUGCCUCCUGGAUCUUGAGGUCUGCCUUCUGUGGAAGAGAAAUACUAGAAUCAAUGAACUGUGAACUAGAGCCCUGGGAUUAUCAACAGCUGAAAUUUUGAGAGCCACCUUAUAGAAAGCCUAACAGCAAAGACUGGAGAGAGGCUUCCAGCCAACAGCCAGCAAGGAAUUGAAGCCCUCAGUCCAAUAGCAGUGAGGAAUUGAAUCCUGCCAACAGCCUCGUGGACCGACUGCUUCAUGCUGGGCUUCAGACAUGAGAGGCUAGGAGUAGGAGGCAUGCCUUGUUC